AGACAGGAAGGCACCGGGCUCUAGCAGUGGGUCCCCAAUUUCGCUUGUGAGCUGCAUUCCACUGGCCACCCUGCCUUUCAUAGAGGUGAGGUAUUAAUAGUAGUUGAGGGAGACUUUAUGAGGGAGAUUGGAUUGGAGCUGAGCUUUGAAAGAUGAAUGAAAUCAUUUGGAGGAUUCAUCCACAAAAAACAGAGACUGGCCAACCCUGGUUUGCAGGGGUCUCACUCUGCCACCCAGGCUGGAGUGCAGUGGUGCAAUCACAGCUCGUUGCAGCUUUGACCUCCCAGGCUCAAGGGAUCCUCCUGCCUCAGCCUCCUGAGUCACUGGGACCACAGGGAAUUUGAAGAAUCUCCAGGAGGGCCAGAGAGGAGACUUGGAUGCCACCCAGCCAGAAAUAGAGAAGUUGGGACCACCCAGCCAGGCACAAGGCCACACCUCAGCCAUCACCACCCACAAGCAACGCAGCAUGUAUGAGUCGGGACAGGACACCAGAAACCACCUCAUGAUUGCUCCGGAAGAAGCAGCUGCAGGGGGCCUGGAUCAUAGUCAAGAUUGCUAGAUACUUGUUACAUGAAUGAAUGAAGUCAUCCAGUACUCAUUGGCUCCACCGGGCUUCGACUUGCUGGACGUGGCAAGCCCACCAGGGAGUCCUGAAUAGCCCUCCUCUUUCCAAACAGCUGGGGAAGCUGGUUGCCCUGGAAACCUACUUUAGGUGGCAGCAUCUUCCUCCAGGAGGUGGAGGUGUCUCCUGGACCUUAGAGACUCCAGGACACAGGACAAAGAGCUCUGAACUGUGGAGCUGGGAAACCUGGUUCCAGCUCAGCCCAGAUUUACCGGCUGUGGACUUGGCCAAGUCGCUCACAAAACCCAAAGGAUGAGGCAGAGCUGGCCCUGCCUGCAUGGCAGGGAGCUUCUGAGAACCAUGAAGAGAGUCAGCAAGUGCCUGGGGAACGAAACCACCGAGCAGUGCAGGGCAUGGCUCUCCCACUUCUCCACUGGGGAAAAAAAUUCCAGACAAAGACAGUACAGAGAAUACUGUAGCCAAUACUGCAGCAGUUACCACCCGGAAAACCAGAUACUAAUACAAUAACUUGUGAUUUUUGCUUCAUAUCUCUGUGGCAUAAAACCAUGACACAUAAAGUUUAUGUCCCCCUUUAACCAUUCCUCAGUGCGAUUCCCCUCCUGUCUCCCUCUCCCCAACGGCAACCACUGAUAUGUUCGCUUUAUUCGAUGCUUUUCAUAUUUUAAAUAUGUUGUUUAUGGGAAUGAUCAUAAAUAAGAAAUACACUGUUUGUUUUAAACAUUUGCAUAAAUAAUAUCAAAGUAAAUUAUUUAAGUUUCCCCAGCAGUCCCUGCCCCCGUCCACCUUUCCCUCAGUUCUCUUCCAUUACAGUAAAGAAAACUGCCCAAACUCAGUCAGCACCCCUGGACUUUCGAAGUGGCUUCCUACUUGGGGCCCUGCUUCCAACAUUGGCCCUAUGAGUGACAAGGAUCUCAUUCUUUCUGUGCUCAAAGCUCUGGCCUCUUUCUCCCUCCCUGGUCUUGCCCAGCCCAGCUCCACCCUCUGUGCUCAGAACCUCACAUCAGUCGUUCCCCACCUGGGGUGCCCUU
This 1611-nucleotide long non-coding RNA is filed under the name Macaca mulatta (Rhesus monkey). RNAcentral describes it as "lncRNA (ENSMMUG00000056807.1)". Lineage: Eukaryota; Metazoa; Chordata; Mammalia; Primates; Cercopithecidae. The record is from RNAcentral.